AACUUACAUCAUUAUUGUUUGUUAUUAGGAUCGGAGCUAUUUUCUUCAUUGUGAUGAAUCAGAUAUUUGGUAACUUGUCAGCCAUUGACCUCUUUAUAAGGCAGAAGCACAUAUUCAUUCAUGAGAAUGCCAGUGGGUUCUACAGGAUUUCCUCGUACUUCAUUGCUAAGGUUCUCUGUGACAUUAUACCAAUGAGGAUAUUACCACUCUGUAUAUUUGCAUCAGUGACAUACUUCAUGAUGGAGAGAGGGAGGGAG
This is a long non-coding RNA of Amphimedon queenslandica, 257 nucleotides long. RefSeq lists it as uncharacterized. The transcript is spliced from 3 exons. NCBI's taxonomy places the organism in Eukaryota, Metazoa, Porifera, Demospongiae, Haplosclerida, Niphatidae. The record is from RefSeq and is a predicted model, not a curated record.